AGUCAAAGGAGGCCCAGAUACGGGGGAGAGAGCAGUGCUGCUCAUGGGCCUUCUGGUUUGAGCGAGCAGGAGUGGCAGCGCAUGGAACAGAUGGUGCGCGAGAGUGAGGGCCGGGUGGCGAGGCGUGUGGAGGAGGGCCUAUUCACGAGGCUGAAGAAUUGGGCCGAGGAGACCUUUGGGUGUAUGCGUUGUCGAUGCUCGCAUAGCACCGAUGUACGUCAGCCCAUGCCUGCUCCAAGACCUCA
This 245-nucleotide long non-coding RNA is filed under the name Salvia miltiorrhiza (redroot sage). Its description in RNAcentral is "long non-coding RNA (SMIL_LNC012488)". Lineage: Eukaryota; Viridiplantae; Streptophyta; Magnoliopsida; Lamiales; Lamiaceae. The record is from RNAcentral.